UACGUAGGGGGCAAGCGUUAUCCGGAUUUACUGGGUGUAAAGGGAGCGUAGACGGAUGGACAAGUCUGAUGUGAAAGGCUGGGGCUCAACCCCGGGACUGCAUUGGAAACUGCCCGUCUUGAGUGCCGGAGAGGUAAGCGGAAUUCCUAGUGUAGCGGUGAAAUGCGUAGAUAUUAGGAGGAAUACCAGUGGCGAAGGCGGCUUACUGGACGGUAACUGACGUUGAGGCUCGAAAGCGUGGGGAGCAAACAGG
This 253-nucleotide ribosomal RNA is filed under the name Blautia luti. Its description in RNAcentral is "partial 16S ribosomal RNA". It matches the Rfam family "Bacterial small subunit ribosomal RNA", at positions 524 to 776 of the family's 1533-position model. The record is from RNAcentral. Lineage: Bacteria; Bacillati; Bacillota; Clostridia; Lachnospirales; Lachnospiraceae.